Pangasianodon hypophthalmus (striped catfish) is the source of this 4324-nucleotide long non-coding RNA. RefSeq lists it as uncharacterized. The record is from RefSeq and is a predicted model, not a curated record. The transcript has 3 exons. NCBI's taxonomy places the organism in Eukaryota, Metazoa, Chordata, Actinopteri, Siluriformes, Pangasiidae.
GAAUAUUUGAAGAAUCCAUAAAUAGUUUAUAAAAUAAAUCAGAGGGGGCCGUGGAAUUUUUUUGUUUCAGCUAAAGGGUCCCUGGCUGCAAUGACUUAGUGACUAAUACUUAGUGACUAAUUUCUGGAACAGUCUUGUGUACUAGCAGUUGCUCCAACCUUUGACUUUAUUUCUGGCUUUUUCUUUGUAUAAUUUUCUUUCACUUGUUCUAGUCAUUUGGCAGAACUUGUAUUAUUUUAAGCUUCUUCAACAGAUCUUUGCUUGGGUUGGAUUCUGCCUCAUUUGGAAGUUGUUUUGGAUAAAACUCCUUGCCAAUUAAAUAGAUGUAAAUUCAUCCAUCUAAAUAGAAAGCCCAGAAGUCAUGGCACGACACAAUGAGAGAGUUUUUCAUGUGCUCAUUUCCCCUAGUUGUAAAGUCACUGUUGUGUCUGGUUCAGAGUUCUACCAGCAUAAAAGAUUUGCGCACACAGCCUUUCGUCCGUGGGAAAAUUUGGGCCCAGGCCUCACAGACAAGCGUGGUAUGGGAGUCAAGGCAGGGUGCAGAAUCUGCCAGCCAAGAGUGAGCUCCACUGCGAUCAACACUCUCAUCGUCAUACUCUGUCUCUCUUUCUAUCCGCCUCCGUAUCACACACAUACACAGGAAAUAAAAAAGUCUCAUUACAACAUUUAUAUCCCAGUAUUAUGUUCUUAUACAUAUUGGCGAAGUUCUGACAAAGAUCUAAAAUAAAUGCUGAUUUUUUUCACAUGACAUUUUAGUGACUUUCCCAAAUACAAUAAUCAAUAUGUAUAUAUUUUAUAUAUAUAAAUACAUAUUUAUAUAUAAUUGUAUAUAUAAUGUAAAUUUCUUUUUUAGAUUUAAUAUCCCAUGAAUGUGUCAUGACUGGUGGCUAAAAUGUAAUUUGAUUCAUUUUAAAAAAUCAAAUUAUUCUUGUCUAGUUCACAAUGAUCAGUGUAAUUCAGGGCUUGUAAUCAGCGGCGUAGGCAGGAAUUCAUUUCAGAGAGGGAGAUGAGGACAUAAAUAAAAUCAUGCACUCUUUUAUUUUGGGUGGAUGCAGGUAUUAGUAAACGAACUUGAUCUACCAUCAAGCAGUCAUGCCAUAUUAAUAAUGAUAAGACAUGAUAUAAAAUACCUUUAUGACAGUUCCACUGAAAGUGAAUUAAACAAAUGAAUAUGUGAUUAAAUAAAGGAAGGGACAUUUGUUUGAAAUCUGGGGCGAUUAAAUACGUAGGAACCAUAAAGAUAAAGAUUCAUAAAGAGUUUGUCAACCUUUUAUGAAGAUCAUUAUAGUACAAUUACUGUGCAAAACAAUAUUAUUUGUCACUUACAUAAUCGGCUGCACCGUAUGUGUGUAAUAAUAACCACCCACCAGUAACUAUUUGGAUCUGCCAUGUAUGGAACAGAAACAUUUCAGGAGGCUUUAAAUACAGACGAGUCAUUUCCUUUACUUUUCAACACUGCUGCACGCACCACCCUUUCUUGUACUUUUCUAAUGGAUGCAGGAAGUGAGUUGAGGGGAGACAGCUGAGGGGGGAAAAAACCACAGAAAAGAACAAGGAGGGCAGGAAAGAAAGAAAAAAACAAGACAUUUUGUACUUUUACGAGAUGUUCUGCAAUUUUGAAUUUUUCCCUUUCAACAGAUAUACAGUCUGAUAGAGGAGAACUCAGGGUUGUGAAAGCUUUCAAGGGAUAUGGGAAAACAUCUGCAUCCGUAACUGCAACUGAGACAUGUCAGUGAAACUGAAGACUAGCAUAGGCAAUGCUCAUAUUAUUAUAUUUGUUCCAGUGGGGGUGACUGAAUACGGAGACAGAGUUAAAAACUGUUCAAACAUGAAAACAUAUUUUCUUGUUAUGAAAUCAGGAGUAAGGGGAUUAUGAGAAAGAAAGAGAGUAAAAGAGGGAGAGACAGAUUGAGGUUCAGGAGGAUAUGAGUGGUGUGGGAAUCUGGUGUGCGUCACUACUGGCCUCAUGUUUUCACUGAUGUGCAUCUGUUAUCUUGGGUCUAUUCGGUCUGUCAACAUUCUCUUGCUCUCUGAUAACACUGCUCACUGCUCUUAUAAAACUGGCUUGCUCCUUUUCAUGGAAAAGUAUGUACCUUACAUACGACGUAUGAAGCCAGCCAAAGCCUAAAGGCUAAAUAUGCCAAGAAGUUCUCUAGUGACUACAUUUAUACACAUACUACUGCCCAGCUGAGGGCUGCCUAUCCUCCCAGGAAAAGCUGCUGAUGCCUGCCACUCUCGCACGUACCCUCUGUAUUUGGCACCAGCACUCUGUUGACACUCGCUGCAGAAAGAAGUGCUGUAUAACUGGUUUAUCAUGGUCAGAGUCAUGGUGGAAGUGGACACUAUCCCAUGAACACUGGGUUCCUGAAGGGAAUAAACCCUGAUAGAGACUCCAGUCCAUCACAGGGCACCACACGCAUACAUUUACUCUUAUUUACAGUUUUUAAGAUGGGAGGAAGCUGGGAGAACCUGGAGGAAACCCACACAGACACGAGAAGAACAUGCAAAACUCCACAUUGACAGUAACCUGAGCUCAGAAUCAAACCAGGCACUGGGACUGUGACACGGAAACGCUACCUGCUGAACUUCCUGUCAAAUAUUUUUUCCUUUUUGAGGCAAAUAUGUAGCUAGACAGGGCAAGACAUUUUCACAAGUGUGCCUUUAAUGCUGUCUUGCAAUCCUGCUCUUCUGGUUUGAUCAGUUAUUUGAUCAUUGUGUUGUUAAAUAAACCUUUUUUUUUUUUAAAAGUUAUUCUUGUAAAACAUUUUUAAUACACUUCAAGGUAUUUUGUAUGUUUAACAACAUUAAAAAGAUUUAAAGAAAGGAUUUAAAGAAAGGUAAUUUUCCACUUUCCAGGUUGCUGAUAAUAUCGCAUCACCUCAGAUAGUAUGUUUUGUGAAUUAUUUAAUUAACUGUCCUUUCUGGCUGUAAACAAGGUUCACAUUUACUCUGAGAACUGCUUUGAUGAGACUGUCUCAGAAUUUCUAUUAGUUUUGCUCAACCAUUGUAAAUCAACAGCAUUCCUCUCAGGUCUGGGUGUGUCUUCCAUUGCGUAAGGAGAGAUGUUAGGUGGUUAAUCCACCUAUUCAUCAUAGUGACAACUAACAGGUCCAGCCAGUUUCUGUAACCGGCUCUUGAUUAAACAUCCCACUUUGUCACUGGGAUACGCGUUUCAUGUCUAAAACUCAUGUGACCCAGGCAAAUUUAGUUGGCAGGUCCAAAAUCACCUAGUUUCCAUUUUGGCAAUAACCUUUGUUAGAUCUAUGAUUAAUAAUUGAUAACAGCAUAUAAAUAUAAACAGGGCAUUUUUUGUGGGCUGACUCUGCUUUGACCCAUGUUUCCAUAGACUCAGUACCCUUAUUUACUGUGAUGAAAAGUGCUUGACGUUUAUGUUUCAUUUACGCCUCAUGUAGAAGCCACACAGACAAAUACGCUAGUAAGAUUCAAGAAAAGACCAAAUCGCUUCAUAACAUUACAUUUUUAAGGUGGCUCAUGAAGUAGCGUGUCCGCUCGUAGUUUCUUACUGAUUAGUAUCGCACUCAAACCUUUAGACCUGAUUGUGUUCUUUCUACUGAAGGUGUGUGUGAGAUAUACACAUACGUCACAUAUAUAUUUAAGAACAGCUGAUGAAUCAGGGAAUUUUCUUACCUGCUAAAAGAGGUACAAGAUACAGUGAAUAUUCAGUUCAAUUCUAGCUCAUAUUUUGAGCCUUUUCUAAUGUUGUUAACAAAACUAGACUUGAUAUUUCCUUCCUUGUCAAUGAGCAUGGAACUGAUGAAUUGCUGAUCUUUUGCUAAAAAAAGUAUGUAAAUUAUAAUAUUUAUGCAGCAGUGCCUGAUUUACUUUUAAGCAAUGUAUUAUUCACCAGUUGGCGACUUUCCAAGUUGAGUUCUAUUAUCAUGUGUUUUUUAUUUUUUUAAUUGUUUUUUUCCCCUAGUAGACACUGAUUUCAGACUACACAAUGAACACAAUCUUAACCUAUUAACAUUUAAAGUUGUUUUUGACCCUGUUUUUUUUUAAUGUUUCAUCCCAUUUUGGAUCUUUUUGCUAAAGUGUAUUUAAGUAAAGUACCAAAAUAUUCAGAAUGAUGUUAUAAACUGGAAAUGUGUAAGAGUUUUUUAUAGGUUGUAGGAGAUUCACAUUUUGAGCAACAGACAUAGAGGCAUGAGCAGCAUAUCACCAUGAGACCACAGGCAAUGUUUUGUUUGAAGCAGCAGGUGCCCAAGAUUGCAGGAGAAGUAGUCAGAGUCAGAAGAGAGUGAAAAGAGGCAGUGUGACUCACUCUGACAUACAGUAUCUCUACACUGCCUAGGGUGAUGAAGAC